Long non-coding RNA from Xenopus laevis (African clawed frog), 2853 nucleotides. RefSeq lists it as uncharacterized. The record is from RefSeq and is a predicted model, not a curated record. NCBI's taxonomy places the organism in Eukaryota, Metazoa, Chordata, Amphibia, Anura, Pipidae. The transcript has 2 exons.
GGGCAAAUAGUUUUUCACACCACUGUAAGUCCAUCAGCUUAACCACUCGGCCAUCCUGGCGGGUUGCAAGCAUCAUCUGACUAGUUAGCAAGCAAGUUUGGAGUACUGUUGGGUUGCAAGCAUCAUCUGACUAGCUGGCAAGAAAGUUUGGAUUCAAGUAUAUGAGACUUUAAAACUUGUUCCAGGAGUGAAUAUACAUGUACAUGGCUCAGAACUGAAAAGAAGAAAAUAAAACCUAUAUAACAUCUACUAAACUGGGACAAAAGUAUGAUUUGAAUCUCUUUGAAUCACAUCAACCAAUACUCUUAAUGAAUUUGUCAUCCAUUGAAAAACAAAUACCACACCACAGAUCCCUUUGUUUACUGUAAACGUUUUUAUCCUUAUGAUUCCAGUAGAGGUCUGACUUCUGUCAGUACUUGGUAAUUAAAAGAAGAACGAAAAGUACCCCCGCUUGAUCAAUUAGACUAAAGCAGUCACAAUAUGUCCACAAUAUGUCCACUAGGUCACUAAUAGUGACCUAAUGGACAUAUAUAGGUAUAUAUGUCUUCUUUAUAUUGUGAAUUUGUCAUCCAUGCCCAUUAAAGCAGCCGUUGUUGCUGGUCCAAUUUGAAAUGAGUGGCUUUUGUAUUUAUCAACAGGGAGGCCAAGAUGCUUAAUGCACCUUUUGAAUAUUUGACACAGCUGACAUUUUGACAAGUAAGAACCAUCUGCAUGCCAUCAAUCUUAGGUCUUAUAGCAAGAAAUUUAGUAACAGCAGUAACUGAUUCAAGUGUUUAAGGACGCCAAUCCAAACUAUGGCUCCUUUCCCAAACAUAUCAGUUUUGGAUUUACGAAUAAACACUUUAAGCUUAUCAUGAAUUAUAGAGACAUCUUUCAGAAAAAGCCCUCCUAGCUUGUAUUUUGAUUACGACACUGCCUCGCUAAUUCUUAAAGCAGCAAAAUACAUUACUAGGAAUAACCCUUGAAAAGGUUUUAGCUCAUAUAACGAUGAACAAAUUAUCUCCAAUGCAACUAACAUUUUGUGUAAUAUGUGAUUGGUGUUCUAUCUUCUCUGCUAACACUUACUUUAGAUAUACCCUUACAAAUCUGUUUUAUCACUGGUGCUUUUGUCACAUCCAUUGCACCCAGUAUUCUAAUGAAAAAGGAAAUUCCUGCUAGUUGUUUUUUAAUGUAUGAUGAAGUUUGUUGAGCUUCAACAUGCUCUAACAGAUACAAUAAGAAACAGUCUAUAUCCGAUGUUCCAGAUCCUUGUAGAUUCACAAAAUCUUGCCAUUCCAUCCAAGCGCUGAUGUAUGCUAACCAGUUUUUUUUCUGAUACUGAUUUCUGUAAUAACUUUACUAACAUUAAUAACAUUGUGUUACAAGGUCCCAUAGGUAUGAAGGGAAACUGAAAACGAGAGAGAGCAUCAGCUAAGCAAUUUUGAUAAUCCGGUACAUGCUUGGCUAUCAACAAAAUAUUCUGUUCUAAAACCCUCAGCAAUAUUUUUCUAAAAACAGUAACAACUGGGGGUGAUUUAACUGAUAAAUUAUUUAUGACUUUGACCACUCCCAUAUUAUCUGAAUGAAGCCUGAUCCUCCUAUUUGCUAACCUAGAGCCCCAAAUGUCUAAAACUACCAACAUGGGGAAUAUUUCUAAUAAGACUAGGUUACUAAUCAGUAACUAAGAAGCUUUUCUGCUGGGAGUCGAAACUCCAUCUGUAAUGUAUCUAACUUCUAUUCCUAAAAACUGCAAAUUAGUAGUAGGAGAAAUAGUUUUUUCCUUUGAUAUAGGAAUACAAAAUUGUUUUGAUAAGGCCAAAAAUGUAUUUAAUAAAAUUGUGCAUGUUUUAGUGCCAGCUGGACCCACAAAAAGAAAAUCAUCGAGAUAGUGAAGGACAUGCUGAGAGCUAGUUUCUAAUUUUACUAUCCAUUCUACAAAUGUAACAAAAUUUUCAAAAUAUUGACAAGAUAUAUAAUAUAUUUGCAUAAAUGCAAAAUGCCUGUAGCCAAUUUGAGAAAGUUCUGGCUACAGGUCUCCAUCUUUCCACCUCUGAAUCCCCUUUACGCUCAGUUUUAAGGAAUUUCUUUGCUGCCGGUAAAAGAGAAAGAAUGUCUAUAUACUCUUCCUUUAUAAUUUUCUCUUUAACGGCAGCAGAUAAAUGCAAGCCCAAUGGAGUAGUUUGGCAAACAAAUGAGUCUUUAUAAGAUUAUUCAUUAACCCCUGUGCUUGUAUGUGUUACAGCCACACCAGGAGUGUUGUGUUCGGGAGUCACUUGUUGCAAUAACUUACCUAGCUACUUUAAGACCUCAGACGCCUUGUCAGACUGCAUAACGCUUGCUCUUGCUGGACCUGUGAGGGAACAGACUGGGAAGGAGAAGAAACAGCAGCCUGAUUGACUGGCAAUUAUUUCUCAACAGUCACACUUUGAAAUCCAAAGACAGCAUUGACAGUUCCUCUCUGUGGGCAGUGAUUAAGCAAGCUCAGAAAAACAGCUUCGUCGAUGAAAACCAAUACUCCAAAGAAUCUCUACAUACAUACACAAAUAUACAUACACUGUACUAACAUUUCGACUUCAGAUUUUCAGGAUUUUCCUUUUUUGGUUGUGGCCUACUUUCGUAACACAUUUUUUUAGGGGUUUUUAAUUUUUUUUUUAAACAGAACUUUAUCUGAGUAAAGUAUGUAGACAUGGCUAUAAUAUAGGUUAUCAAAUAUAGGUUAUCAAAUAAUAAGAAUCCAUGAGUUACAAUUGGUAGAGUACAUGUCAAUGGCCAUCUGUAUUUUACAUCACAUUUUAAACAACCUAUAUAUUUAUUCAACUGUGCUUUUAUUUUUUGUAACUAACUUGCUUAAUAAAGAUAACAUUAUAAACCAAA